Molecule: ribosomal RNA, 1018 nt
Filed under: uncultured bacterium
Lineage: Bacteria
Description: bacterial SSU rRNA
Rfam family: Bacterial small subunit ribosomal RNA
Source: RNAcentral
AGGAAUAUUGGUCAAUGGGCGUAAGCCUGAACCAGCCAAGUAGCGUGAGGGAAGACUGCCCUAUGGGUUGUAAACCUCUUUUGUGCGGGGAUAAAGUGUGGGACGUGUCCCAUAUUGCAGGUACCGCACGAAUAAGGACCGGCUAAUUCCGUGCCAGCAGCCGCGGUAAUACGGAAGGUCCGGGCGUUAUCCGGAUUUAUUGGGUUUAAAGGGAGCGCAGGCCGUCCUUUAAGCGUGCUGUGAAAUGCCGCGGCUCAACCGUGGCACUGCAGCGCGAACUGGAGGACUUGAGUACGCACGAGGUAGGCGGAAUUCGUGGUGUAGCGGUGAAAUGCUUAGAUAUCACGAAGAACUCCGAUUGCGAAGGCAGCUUACCGGAGCGCAACUGACGCUGAGGCUCGAAAGCGCGGGUAUCGAACAGGAUUAGAUACCCUGGUAGUCCGCGCGGUAAACGAUGGAUGCCCGCCGUUGGGAUUUGGAUUUCAGCGGCCAAGCGAAAGCGUUAAGCAUCCCACCUGGGGAGUACGCCGGCAACGGUGAAACUCAAAGGAAUUGACGGGGGCCCGCACAAGCGGAGGAACAUGUGGUUUAAUUCGAUGAUACGCGAGGAACCUUACCCGGGCUUGAAUUGCAGGAGAACGAUCCAGAGAUGGUGAGGCCCUUCGGGGCUCCUGUGAAGGUGCUGCAUGGUUGUCGUCAGCUCGUGCCGUGAGGUGUCGGCUCAAGUGCCAUAACGAGCGCAACCCCUGUCCAUAGUUGCCAUCAGGUCGUGCUGGGCACUCUGUGGAGACUGCCGCCGUAAGGUGUGAGGAAGGUGGGGAUGACGUCAAAUCAGCACGGCCCUUACGUCCGGGGCUACACACGUGUUACAAUGGGGCAUACAGCGAGUUGGAUGUGCGCAAGUACGUCCGGAUCAAUAAAGUGCCUCUCAGUUCGGACUGGGGUCUGCAACUCGACUCCGUGAAGCUGGAUUCGCUAGUAAUCGCGCAUCAGCCAUGGCGCGGUGAAUACGUUCCCG